AGAACUCUAUAGGGCUUAUAUGGGGCCGUCUUUGGAGGAAAAUAACUUCGAAAUUUUGAUAGUUUCACUAAAUUCAUUUCAUUCCUAGCACUCUUAUGAUAAGCAUAUAUUUUUUUUUUGUUUUUCUACUUUUUAAAGGAUUUCCCCUCUUUACUUUUUUCUAUUAUUUUUUCUAAUCACUUUUCACACUAGAUUUUUUUUUGUUUAUUUAUUGAGUUACCCAUGCCGUAGCCAUAUCUAUUAAUUUUGCUUUUGCCAUUUUCUGUCCCCGUUUCCAUACUCUUUUCUAGUUCUCGUACUCAUUUUAGGGCUACUUGAAACUCUUUAGUUGACAAUGAAAUGAC
Molecule: long non-coding RNA, 344 nt
Filed under: Capsella rubella
Lineage: Eukaryota; Viridiplantae; Streptophyta; Magnoliopsida; Brassicales; Brassicaceae
Description: long non-coding RNA (CRUB_LNC004226)
Source: RNAcentral